GAAAAGGUGAAUCCCCAAGCAAGCAGCCAUGUCCCUUGCAAGCUGUCAAAGUCCAGCUGCUGAACACAGCAACAGAAGGAGAGACCAUCCCAUGCAUGACAGUUAUGCCAAGCAUCAAGACUUUAAACAGAAAAGAGUUUAUGUAACCGUGGUGCCCAAAUGCUUCCUCAUGACAGUCUCUCUCAGCCAAACCAUCAAGGCAUUGGGAGCAAAAGAACCCUCACAAGCCUAGAAAACCAGAAACAGCUUCUUCCAGAGGGACAAAUACUACUAGAGGGAGCCUUGCCCAUCAGCUGGAACACACAGCCCAAAUACUAAAGAGUCAGAGACUGUAUCAUCACCACAGGCAGAAGAAAGGUGAGGUAUUUUGUUUGCACACAGCUCUGAAACUUGGCAAGAUGGAGAAAGUG
RNAcentral lists this long non-coding RNA (410 nucleotides) under Junco hyemalis (dark-eyed junco). Its description in RNAcentral is "lncRNA (ENSJHYG00000005102.1)". Lineage: Eukaryota; Metazoa; Chordata; Aves; Passeriformes; Passerellidae. The record is from RNAcentral.